RNAcentral lists this long non-coding RNA (701 nucleotides) under Hordeum vulgare. RNAcentral describes it as "long non-coding RNA (HVUL_LNC008384)". The record is from RNAcentral. Lineage: Eukaryota; Viridiplantae; Streptophyta; Magnoliopsida; Poales; Poaceae.
UCCAGACCUAUGGCCUUGGAGUUCAUCCCCGUCCUCUGCCAGGUGAGAAGGAAGAUGAGAGAUACGUUCCUCGUCUUCAACUUUCUUCCAGGAAAGCCUUUCACCGAGCGAGCAGCUAAGCGAGUUCAUCCGCAUCUGUUGUCGUUCAAGUAGGUCUUUGGUUGUAGUAGUGUAGGCAUAGGAGAAGACUGAUUCCUAGCCUUUCUAUUUACUAAGGUCAGGAAUGGGGUAAAGGGGGAUCGGGGGAAGGUGAAAAGUUCAAGUUCAUUCCUCCCUCUAAUUCCAUCUCAGCCUAUCCGCCACAGAACAGGGGCGGGCUCUUUCUUCUUGUUCUUGCGUGACAUCUCGGUAAGGCUUUAGAUAUAUAGGAACUAGGGAAAAGAACCUCUUGCCGUCCUUGUCGAUCGAAAAAAAGUAGUAAAAUAGAAAAAAGGAUUCAAAUCUGCGUACUACUCCCUAGCUUCUUGAAACCACCAAUCCAUUACGAUGCCAGCAAAGAAAACCAACGCUUAAGACGCUAUUGGAGACUCGCGUAGCUAUUAUUCGAAGCUUAUUAAUUUCUUUACUGCGUUCAAGGCAUGACCGCGUGAUAGGUGUCCUUUUCCCCCUACUCAAGAAGAAGAGUUACAUGUGAGUUCCGAUCGUGAUAUGACAAACAAAUCUUACUUUUUCUUUCCCAAGCUGGCGCAUAACCUCUGGAC